This 530-nucleotide ribosomal RNA is filed under the name Bacillaceae bacterium PVB1S2. RNAcentral describes it as "bacterial SSU rRNA". It matches the Rfam family "Bacterial small subunit ribosomal RNA", at positions 179 to 694 of the family's 1533-position model. The record is from RNAcentral. Lineage: Bacteria; Bacillati; Bacillota; Bacilli; Caryophanales; Bacillaceae.
UUUUGAACUGCAUGGUUCGAAAUUGAAAGGCGGCUUCGGCUGUCACUUAUGGAUGGACCCGCGUCGCAUUAGCUAGUUGGUGAGGUAACGGCUCACCAAGGCAACGAUGCGUAGCCGACCUGAGAGGGUGAUCGGCCACACUGGGACUGAGACACGGCCCAGACUCCUACGGGAGGCAGCAGUAGGGAAUCUUCCGCAAUGGACGAAAGUCUGACGGAGCAACGCCGCGUGAGUGAUGAAGGCUUUCGGGUCGUAAAACUCUGUUGUUAGGGAAGAACAAGUGCUAGUUGAAUAAGCUGGCACCUUGACGGUACCUAACCAGAAAGCCACGGCUAACUACGUGCCAGCAGCCGCGGUAAUACGUAGGUGGCAAGCGUUAUCCGGAAUUAUUGGGCGUAAAGCGCGCGCAGGUGGUUUCUUAAGUCUGAUGUGAAAGCCCACGGCUCAACCGUGGAGGGUCAUUGGAAACUGGGAGACUUGAGUGCAGAAGAGGAAAGUGGAAUUCCAUGUGUAGCGGUGAAAUGCGUAGA